GUGCUCGCUUUGGCAGCACAUAUACUAAAAUUGGAACGAUACAGAGAAGAUUAGCAUGGCCCCUGUUAAAUAUGAUAACUUACAUGCUAGUGAUAUACAGAAAAAAAUCUAU
Molecule: small nuclear RNA, 112 nt
Organism: Suncus etruscus (white-toothed pygmy shrew)
Lineage: Eukaryota; Metazoa; Chordata; Mammalia; Eulipotyphla; Soricidae
Source: RefSeq, a predicted model, not a curated record